CAACCAUGGGCAUCCCUGACUUUGUCAAGUUUAUUGCGCGUUCCUCGCCUAGUGCGCUGUGUCGUGUGCCGAAAGGCAGCUCGAGGCACGAGCCGCUCAUCUUCGACUUCAUCUUGAUUGACGCCACGAACGCGGCGCAGACACUUGGGCUUGACAACUUGCGCGCGUUUCUCAAUCCCGACCAUGUCGUGGCGAGGUCAGCUGUCAUUUUCGCGCUAGACUCCCAGCGCGACCGCAGCGGCACGGCCCGCGCCCACCGCCACGCUCUUGUGGGGAUCGGUGACCUCGAUGUGCAUGUGCAGAAGCUGUGCGGGCAGUUGGCGGACGCGUACCGUGCGCAGCAAGGGAACAACAACGGGUUGGGUACCGGCUCUAGGGCCAACCCGUACGUGCUGACGAGCGGACGCGGUGUGGCGGGAGAGGCGGACUACAAGCUUCUUGACCUGCAGCGUUGCUUGGUGACGUGUGCCAUUGCCAGCGGAGCCACUGUCCUUCCUACCUUUCUCUUUAUCUCGGAGGACUCUGAUGUGCUGUGCGGCGUGCUCUGCGGCCCAGCACCCCAGCAGGUUUCCAUUGCCACAAAGUUGCAGGACGUCCUCUUCGAGCCUUCGAUUUUGCGCCUCGAUCGCGUCCUAGCGUUUGUGGCCACCUGCACCGACGCCUUCUACGCCGCGAGCGAGGAGGAGGAGGAGGCGGCGGCAGCUGCCGCCGCCAAGAUGAAGGCGAUGGCGGAAAGAAACGCUGCAGAGCCCAAUAGGGCAAACUCCUUUGCCACUGCGCCGGCAACAAAACGUGCGGGGAAGCAACACAGUGACGAGGAGGUAGAACUUUCCGUUAAGGACACGGCGGUCGCCACGGCGACGGCGACGGCUGCUCGAGACGACGGUGUGGUGCGUCGCCGCAAGCAGGACGGCCCAAUGGUGGCCACCGGCGUGCGCAUCGAAUUGGCGGACAGCAGCGAUGACGAUCAGCCAGAGCAUGUGGAGACGAAGCCGACGAAGGUGCCCACGGCGACUGCAGGCGCAACCGCUAAGGCACCUGUGUCAGAGAUGGAGGAGGUGCCCAUUGAUGAUGGCAAGUACGUCAAGGAAGCCAGCGCUGCUCCGACGGAGGGCGAGCUGCUCGUUUCCUCCAUCACGCACACGAGCUGCGUUGACAUGGUGUUUCUCUUUAUGAUUGUCAUGGGCAACGCCGUCAAUGUGCCGUCGCUGGUACGCGGCGCCACAAAGGUGGAUUCCGGGUCGUGCUGGCAGGCGUACUGCAAGCACAAGUACAAGAAUUUGUCUACCGCGGAUGCCGAGACAGGCCGCGCACUACUCACCCCCUCAAUCAGCACGCACUCGACGAACCGAGGCAGCCUUGUACUAAACUGCCAAUUCCUCCACUCCAUCUUGGACGCUGUGCAUUACGCUGACGCGGAGCCGCGACCGCCCGUCGAGGAGGAGAAGAGCAGCGCCAUCACCUACCUCUCCAAUGCCGUCUACGCGACGCUCCGCUACAUUGUCGGGUGUAAUCUUGACAAGACGCCGACUUUGAAGCAAACGUUUCUCGACUCACGGCCACUGUCCGAGACUGCCAUCAUGCUCCCUAGUCUCUCUGCGGUGAUGUGGGUGCUCGGCCAGGAGGCGACGCGCACGUUCUCGUUCCCCCUGCACGGCCUCGCCAAAAAGGAGCUCUUAGUGGCCGCAUCGGGUGGCGCGUCGGCUACCAACGAUGCCGCCAACGCCUCGUCAAGGCUUGAAGCCAACCACGCCACCUUCGCGCGUGACGCGUCGUCCUCCACAAGCGAGCUUGACGUUGGCGAGCAUCUGGUGGCGCCUGCGGCUUCGAAGGCUUGGGCUGUGCGUGGUGCGCGCACGAGCAACGUGUCCCUUGCAGCUCUGAUGCAAAAGUUCACUAGUGGCGUUGACGGAGCGUCCUCGGCUGCGCGCAGCGGUCACUACACCGCUGCAGGCAUGCGGUCCGCGCACCUCCCCAGCGUCAGAGAGAUGCUGAAGAAAGCCCUGCAGAUGGUGUCACCAGCCAGCUUAGCAAAGGCCAACCUGCUCUUCUACCUGAUGACUGUCUGGGCAUACGCCCUCGGACUCGGUGUGCGCCGCAUGGCGACGCUCACCAAGGCAGCCGCGUCAGUGGCGAAAGCCGAAGUAGGGGAGUCGGCGUUCAGUUCGGCGCAUCCGCCUUCCUCGGCUGGGGCCGCGAAGGCCUCAAGAGCGACGCCGGGUACAACCCCAGUUGGCGGACACUACGUAUACAGCUUCGAGUUGCGUCGCAUGGCGCCCGUUCUACAGGCUGCGACUUCGCAACCACCGUCCUCCAUCACAGCCGCAUCUGGGCCCUCCGCGAUACCUGGAAGGGUAGACAGCACAGCGUCCUCGUCGAGCGAGAAAUCAGCGGCGCAGCAGGCCAUCUUUGCGGCGCUCGGGGUGUCGUAUGACUACUCACAGACGCCGCGUGGCCCGGCAAACGUUGUGAAUCUGCCGCGCUGUGCAGUGGACGAGGAGGACAUUGCAGAGCUGCAGCGGCUCAGGAAGGUGGCAAAGAAGGAGCGCACUUUUUCUGCGUUGGUGGUCGACGCCGUCCCCGGCAAGAAGCGCAGUGCCAACGUGGAUGACAACGACGGCACGUUGUCGGACAACGACGACGGCAACAUUGGUCGGACAAGGUCAAGGAAAAGGGCCGAAGACACGAAAAACGGCACCUCCAAGGCAAAGAAACGUCGCGGCAAACGCGAGCGUCUAAAACAGCAAAAGGCAACCGCGAAGGCGGCAGCUGCCGAAGCGGACGGAGGCUCGCCGAGGCACGUGGGGCGUGCCGCGCGAUUCAAUGCGCCUGCAACGGCUGAGACUUCGUGAAGCAGAGCAGCGGCUCGCACCACUCCAAGAGGCAUGCGUGUCGCGUCUUGCUUUGUGUUUUAACUACACGUUAAUGGCGAUCGUUUAACGCGGAAACGGACAGGAAAACACAAGAUGUCCUCUCUCCCAUUGCAAGGUGAAGAGGGCGACGACUGUUUGUGGCCCAGAUGUGAGAUCUUGGUGGCAUGCGUUCCACGCCGCCCCUUGACGCAGGGGUGGCUGAGCGUGUGCGUGUGGCUUGGUGACGAAAGUCUUCUCUGUUUUUUUGGCAUUGCAGAGAGAAGACAUGCACCGGGGCGCGUGACCGUUGUCAUUGCUUGCGCCGCAACUGUUACCUUCCACAUGUGCUCAUUCAACGUCGGCAGAGCAGAUGUGUGGAGAGGGGAACUAAGGUCGCACUCACCCGAAUGCCCUUUUGCUGCGGUCGUCGCACCACCGGGGCGCUCUCCACUUUCUCGACUCUCGCUUUGUGGACUGUGUUUCGGGCUGCUGCCCUACCGACGAUGUCCGUUGUGAAACAGUCUUCAUACCGCCCCUCCCUAUUUUUUUUUCCAGCUGCGUGCCGACUCUCCAUGAGGACGGGGCGACACCUCAGUGCGUGGUGUCGCAGGGUCCAGCGCCCCCACGCAUUGCGUGCGGAAAAAGCCAAGCAGCCCCUCGCCCCUAUCCCCCGCCACUGCGGAGCCGCCUCUGGUGGUGGCCGAGCCAAGCGCCUACGGCGUAGCGGAGCCACAGCAAUGCAUCCCCGCUGAUGCCGGGCGGCCAUGUCCUGGUGAGCGUGGCGUCGCCGCGCCCUGCGGUCAGCGAACGCGUCCGUGCCGUUCAUGCGAUGGGCGGAGUGUGGAGGUGGCUCGAAAGGCAUCGCGCCCCCGCCCUCACACUGCCCACUGGUGUGGGGGUGCCCGAGCCCGGCCCCGUGGCGGGUGCACCGGGUGGCGACCGGCGCAACGGCCGCUGCUGUGUGAGUGUGUGUGUGUGUGAGCACUGUUCGACGCAGCGGCGGUGCCCGGGUGACUGGGUCGGCGCACGGCUGCAGGGCUUGCCCUACCGCUGCAUCUCCCCAUGCGCUGUGCCUGUGACCGGCCGAGGGCGGGAGUUGAGUG
This 3955-nucleotide unclassified non-coding RNA is filed under the name Leishmania donovani. Its description in RNAcentral is "gene:LdHU3.36.1990(CDS-product:hypothetical_prote in_conserved)". The record is from RNAcentral. Lineage: Eukaryota; Euglenozoa; Kinetoplastea; Trypanosomatida; Trypanosomatidae.